GAUGAAGAAACGUAGCGAAAUGCGAUAAGUAAUGUGAAUUGCAGAAUUCAGUGAAUCAUCGAAUCUUUGAACGCACCUUGCGCUCUUUGGUAUUCCGAAGAGCAUGCCUGUUUGAGUGUCAUGAAAAUAUCAACCUUGACUUGGGUUUUGUGCUCUAGUCUCGGCUUGGAAUUGGGUGCUUGCCGCUUUAACGAGCGGCUCACCUUAAAUGUAUUAGCUGGAUCUGUCUUUGAGACUUGGUUUGACUUGGCGUAAUAAGUAUUUCGCUAAGGACAUUCUUCGGAGUGGCCUCGUUUCUAGGACGCUUGUCCGCUUUCCAAUACAAGUUCCACCUCGUGGACAUGACUUUUUAUUAUCUGGCCUCAAAUCAGGUAGGACUACCCGCUGAACUUAAGCAUAUCAAUAAGCGGAGGA
Molecule: unclassified non-coding RNA, 414 nt
Filed under: soil metagenome
Description: partial contains 5.8S ribosomal RNA, internal transcribed spacer 2, and large subunit ribosomal RNA
Rfam family: 5.8S ribosomal RNA (bases 1-121)
Source: RNAcentral